RNAcentral lists this ribosomal RNA (253 nucleotides) under uncultured bacterium. RNAcentral describes it as "partial 16S ribosomal RNA". It matches the Rfam family "Bacterial small subunit ribosomal RNA", at positions 524 to 776 of the family's 1533-position model. The record is from RNAcentral.
UACGUAGGGCGCAAGCGUUGUCCGGAAUUAUUGGGCGUAAAGAGCUCGUAGGCGGUUUGUCGCGUCUGCCGUGAAAACCCGAGGCUUAACCUCGGGCCUGCGGUGGAUACGGGCAGACUAGAGGUAGGUAGGGGAGAAUGGAAUUCCCGGUGUAGCGGUGAAAUGCGCAGAUAUCGGGAGGAACACCGGUGGCGAAGGCGGUUCUCUGGGCCUUACCUGACGCUGAGGAGCGAAAGCGUGGGGAGCGAACAGG